CCAAGAGUCCUGGGUAUAGAGCCAUGGAAGUUGGCUGAUCCCUGAAGCGGUGAGUGGGCUCAGGCAGAAGCUGAAGUGUUGUCCUUGGUACAGGUUCCUUACAGACACGUCUUUGUAGAGAAGUUUGAUAACAGCAGUACUGUGCUGCCGUCUAGCGACCAAAGCCUGAACUGCGGCGUGAACUUUGCCCAGCUGUAAGAGGCCAGGCCCUGGACUCCAUCAUGGACCCACUCUCAAGCCAUUGCCAUAAUUACAAGAUGUGGAAGUGUUCAGAUGUCAUUGAAUUUUGUGCG
Nycticebus coucang (slow loris) is the source of this 293-nucleotide long non-coding RNA. RefSeq lists it as uncharacterized. NCBI's taxonomy places the organism in Eukaryota, Metazoa, Chordata, Mammalia, Primates, Lorisidae. The transcript has 3 exons. The record is from RefSeq and is a predicted model, not a curated record.